UUUCCAGUCUUAACUUCUCUUCGUUACCACAUCUAGUGAAACUUGAUUUGUCCAACAACUUAAUAUAUGGGACCAUUCCCUCUCAGAUUGGCAGCCUUUCCAGACUCGCAUCUCUUAAUGCGUCCAUCAAUCAUCUUUCGGGAACAAUUCCGACAGAUAUUGGGAUGCUAAGAUCUCUCACUGCCCUUGCAUUGUACACGAAUAACCUCACGGGAUCAAUCCCCGCUUCGAUAGGGAACUUGAGAAACCUCACAAGAUUGAUCCUUCACGAGAACUCUCUCUCUGGAUCUAUCCCUCAAGAAGUAGGAUUGCUAAGAUCUCUCACUGACCUUGUAUUGUACAAGAAUAAUCUCAUGGGAUCAAUCCCCGCUUCAAUAGGGAACUUGACAAACCUGACAACGUUGUACCUUUACGAGAACUCUCUCUCUGGAUCUAUCCCUCAAGAAGUAGGAUUGCUAAGAUCUCUCAUUGAUCUUGAAUUGUCAACGAAUAAUCUCACGGGAUCAAUCCCCGCUUCAAUAGGGAACUUGACAAACCUCACAGUGUUGUACCUUUCCUGGAACUCUCUCUCUGGAUCUAUCCCUCAAGAAGUAGGAUUGCUGAGAUCUCUCACUGACCUUGUAUUGUACAAGAAUAAUCUCAUGGGAUCAAUCCCCGCUUCAAUAGGGAACUUGACAAACCUGACAACGUUGUACCUUUACGAGAACUCUCUCUCUGGAUCUAUCCCUCAAGAAGUAGGAUUGCUAAGAUCUCUCACUGAUCUUGCAUUGUCAACGAAUAAUCUAACGGGAUCAAUCCCCGCUUCAAUAGGGAACUUGACAAACCUGACAACGUUGUACAUUUUCGAGAACUCUCUCUCUGGAUCUAUCCCUCAAGAAGUAGGAUUGCUAACAUCUCUCACUGACCUUGUAUUGCACAAGAAUAAUCUCAUGGGAUCAAUCCCCGCUUCAAUAGGGAACUUGAGAAACCUCACAAGAUUGAUCCUUCACGAGAACUCUCUCUCUGGAUCUAUCCCUCAAGAAGUAGGAUUGCUAAGAUCUCUCACUGACCUUGUAUUGUACAAGAAUAAUCUCAUGGGAUCAAUCCCCGCUUCAAUAGGGAACUUGACAAACCUGACAACGUUGUACCUUUACGAGAAUUCUCUCUCUGGAUCUAUCCCUCAAGAAGUAGGAUUGCUAAGAUCUCUCACUGGCGUUUCAUUGUACAAGAAUAACCUCACGGGAUCAAUCCCCACUUCAAUAGGGAACUUGACAAACCUGAAAAUGUUGUAUCUUCGCGAGAACUCUCUCUAUGGAUCUAUCCCUCAAGAAGUAGGAAUGCUAAGAUCUCUCACUGAUCUUGCAUUGUACAAGAAUAACCUCACGGGAUCAAUCCCCGCUUCAAUAGGGAACUUGACAAACCUGGCAACGUUGUACCUUUACGACAACUCUCUCUCUGGAUCUAUCCCUCAAGAAGUAGGAUUGCUAAGAUCUCUCAUUGAUCUUGAAUUGUCAACGAAUAAUCUCACGGGAUCAAUCCCCGCUUCAAUAGGGAACUUGACAAACCUCACAGUGUUGUACCUUUCCUGGAACUCUCUCUCUGGAUCUAUCCCUCAAGAAAUAGGCAGUCUUAGAUAUCUACAGGAUCUUGAUAUAAGCUCCAACAAGCUCACCGGUUAUCUAUCGCCGUAUAUGUUCGCUCAUGGAUCCCUCAAACGACUUGUCGUAGCAGAUAACUAUUUAACUUGUCGUAUCCCGAAUAGCUUAAGAAAUUGCAGUGAGUUACGUCGUGUUAGGUUUGAUCAAAACCAAUUGACGGGGCAUUUAUCAGAAGUUUUUGAGGCAUUCCCAAACCUUGAUUAUCUAGAUCUCAGUCAUAAUAAUUUCUAUGGCGAUCUUUGGCACAAAUGGGAUCAGUUUCCCAAUCUGACUAGCCUAAAGAUCUCCAACAAUGACCUUUCUGGAAACAUUCCACCUGGAAUUGUAAGAGCAACUCAGUUACGAUUACUCGACCUCUCUUCAAAUCAUCUAGCUGGUGCGGUACCAAAGAAUUUGGGAAAGUUGGUUUUAUUGUUCAAUCUUACUCUUAGCAAUAACAAACUUUCACGCGAUAUUCCACCAGAAAUUGGAAGCCUGUCUAGUCUUCAGCAUCUAGACUUGUCUGGAAACAAUCUUAGUGGACCUAUUCAAAAGAAGUUGGGUGACUGUGUGAAUCUUCUGAACUUGAAAUUGAGCAGAAAUCUUCUCAGGGAAAGUAUUCCUUUUGAAUUAGGAAAAUUGCAGUCUCUUGAAAAUCUCGAUCUUGGAACUAAUUUAUUAACAGGUGAGAUACCAUCAGGGAUUGGGAGCUUGAAAAGGUUAGAGAUACUAAAUCUCUCCCACAACUUCUUGUCUGGUUCAAUCCCUUUCUCUUUCAACGGGAUGUCAAGUUUAACGUCGGUUGACAUAUCUUACAAUCACUUGGAGGGUCCUCUGCCCAACACAAAAGCAUUUGAAGAUGCUUCAUUUCAAGCAUAUCGAAACAAUGAUAGACUAUGUGGCAAUAAAACUAGUUUGAUGCCAUGCUCACUAAAGCAGAACAAUGGAGAUAAAGGGAGAAAUCAUAAAAAAAUUGUGCUUCAAGUUGUAGUUCCUUUGUUGGGUAUUUUAUUUCUUAUUGUUGCUAUGACUUUCCUGAUCCAUCGCAACAAAAUGAGAGACAACGAAAUUGAGCCAAACAGAGCAAGUAAUAAAGAUUUGUUUGAGAUUUGGAGCUUCGAUGGAAAAUUGGUGUAUGAAAACAUAAUCCAAGCGACGGAGGAUUUCAAUGAUAAGCAUUGCAUUGCAGCAGGUGGAUAUGGCACUGUUUACAGAGCUGAGCUGCCAAGUGGUCAAGUUGUCGCUGUAAAAAAGUACCCUCCUUCCCAAGAUGGCGAGUUGGCUAAUCUGGUAAGUUUUAUGAGUGAGAUUCAUGCAUUGACAGAGAUACGACAUCGGCAUAUCAUAAGGCUUUUGGGUUACUGUUCACAUCCACGACACUCAUUUUUGGUUUAUGAGUUCUUGGAAGGGGGGACCUUGGACAAGAAACUAAGCUGUGAGGAAGAAGCACUAAGUUUGGAUUGGGUUAAGAGGAUAAAUGUUGUUAAAGGUUUGGCAGAUGCUUUGUCAUAUAUGCACCAUGGAUGUUCACCCCGGGUCAUUCAUCGUGAUAUAUCGAGCAAGAAUGUUCUUCUAAACUUAGAAGAUGUCGCUUAUCUAUCUGAUUUCGGAACUGCGAGACUUCUAAACCUGCACUCAUCAAAUUGGACUUCCUUUGCAGGCACCUUGGGAUAUGCUGCUCCAGAACUUGCUUACACAAUGGAGGUGAAUGAAAAGUUAGACGUCUACAGCUUUGGAGUUUUAACACUGGAAGUUGUAAUGGGGAGGCAUCCAGGGGAUCUCAUGUCUUCUCUUUCUUCAUCAUCUUUGGAUUCGUCACCACCAUCUUCUUAUGGUAUUCUGUUGAAGGACGUGUUGGACAAACGGCUCCCACUACCAAGGAAUCAGGAGGAGGAAGCAGUGGUUCUUGCUGUACAGAUAGCACUUGCAUGCUUGCACCCCAACCCGCAGUGCCGACCCACUAUGCAACAAGUUUCUGUGGCUCUAUCAAAACACAAGUCACACUUGCAGAACCCAUUCCUCAUGAUCACAUUAGGACAACUACUUGAUGUCAAUUUUCCAAAUGCGUAAUGAUAUGGUCCAUUUGGAAUGCCAGGAAUCAACUGUUCUUUGAGAAUAAAGCAGUGGUUUGGGUGGAAGUUAUUGAGCUGAUCAAUGCCAGGGUUGCUUUUUGCGUGACAAGAAAUAUUGUUCUUUUGCUUUAGGUGCCAAUGGGUGGGUUGUGUGGUUGCUAGCUGUUGCUUCAUAUCUGGGAUUGGUUGGUUGUGGUGUUGGUUUGUGGCUCUGUUUCUCUUUUCAACUCCUCAGUCCGGAGGGCUAAGAGAUUUGUGGGGCUCUCUAUUGAAGCUGUUAUUGAUGGAGCUAAUUUACGGAUAUGCUUGAAGCUGCACUUAAUUAGCGAUCGAAGGCUGAAGGUUGGCAAUUCCUUGCAUCUGAAAGUUUGUGUCUCCUUGUCUCAUCGCUUACCAACUCCAGUCAAAUUAAUCUCUUGGAGGCAAUUCCUUGUAUCAUCACUUUUCAACUCCUAUCAAAUUAAACUUUUGGAGGGCUAAGGGAGCAAAAUUAGCAGUACUCGUCUGAAGAGCUUACCUAAUGGAAGUGGAGAUCCAUACACUGAAGUCGUUAUUGGUGGGGAUAGAUACUCAAAGGUGAUUCAUCAUGCUUUGUAACUGCACUUAGUAAAGGCUGAGGCUUGUGGUGAUCUAUGAAGCUGCCAUACCUCUCCAUGCUUUUUCUGGAUUUCAUUGGAUUCUAUUUACUGUGUUGUGGUUGAUUUUCGGAACAAGUUUCCUAUUUUUGUAAUGUUCCGUAAUUUUUUUUUUUUUUGGGUGUAUGGUGCACAUAUUGUUUGUUGGCAUGCAGUGACCGAGUCCUCAAGUCGCACAUAGACUAAUAAGGCUGGAUUUCAUAUACUCCGCUAUACAAUAAUCCUUGUUCGAUGGUAGACAC
RNA transcript from Rhododendron vialii, 4565 nucleotides. It is a transcript of the gene named probable leucine-rich repeat receptor-like protein kinase At1g35710, with no coding region annotated. The record is from RefSeq and is a predicted model, not a curated record. The transcript is spliced from 4 exons. Lineage: Eukaryota; Viridiplantae; Streptophyta; Magnoliopsida; Ericales; Ericaceae.